AUUGAACGCUGGCGGCAUGCCUUACACAUGCAAGUCGAACGGUAACAGGUCUUCGGAUGCUGACGAGUGGCGAACGGGUGAGUAAUACAUCGGAACGUGCCUAGUAGUGGGGGAUAACUACUCGAAAGAGUGGCUAAUACCGCAUGAGAUCUACGGAUGAAAGCAGGGGAUCGCAAGACCUUGUGCUACUAGAGCGGCCGAUGGCAGAUUAGGUAGUUGGUGGGAUAAAAGCUUACCAAGCCGACGAUCUGUAGCUGGUCUGAGAGGACGAUCAGCCACACUGGGACUGAGAAACGGCCCAGACUCCUACGGGAGGCAGCAGUGGGGAAUUUUGGACAAUGGGCGCAAGCCUGAUCCAGCAAUGCCGCGUGCAGGAUGAAGGCCUUCGGGUUGUAAACUGCUUUUGUACGGAGCGAAAAGGCUUCCACUAAUACUGGGGGCUCAUGACGGUACCGUAAGAAUAAGCACCGGCUAACUACGUGCCAGCCGCCGCGGUAA
This 498-nucleotide ribosomal RNA is filed under the name uncultured bacterium. RNAcentral's name for it is "partial 16S ribosomal RNA". It matches the Rfam family "Bacterial small subunit ribosomal RNA", at positions 30 to 523 of the family's 1533-position model. The record is from RNAcentral.